Molecule: ribosomal RNA, 245 nt
Filed under: uncultured Thiobacillus sp.
Lineage: Bacteria; Pseudomonadati; Pseudomonadota; Betaproteobacteria; Nitrosomonadales; Thiobacillaceae
Description: partial 16S ribosomal RNA
Rfam family: Bacterial small subunit ribosomal RNA
Source: RNAcentral
UACGUAGGGUGCGAGCGUUAAUCGGAAUUACUGGGCGUAAAGCGUGCGCAGGCGGAUUGUUAAGCAAGAUGUGAAAUCCCCGGGCUUAACCUGGGAAUGGCAUUUUGAACUGGCAGUCUAGAGUGCGUCAGAGGGGGGUGGAAUUCCACGUGUAGCAGUGAAAUGCGUAGAGAUGUGGAGGAACACCGAUGGCGAAGGCAGCCCCCUGGGAUGACACUGACGCUCAUGUACGAAAGCGUGGGUAG